UACGAGGGGUGCAAGCGUUGCUCGGAAUUAUUGGGCGUAAAGGGUAGGUAGGUGGUAAUAAAAGUCUGGGGUGAAAUCCCUGAGCUCAACUCAGGACGUGCCUUGGAAACUUUAUUACUAGAGUGCUGGAGAGGUCCGCAGAAUUCCCGGUGUAGCGGUGAAAUGCGUAGAGAUCGGGAGGAAUACCAGAGGCGAAGGCGGCGGACUGGACAGCAACUGACACUGAGGAACGAAAGCCAGGGGAGCAAACGGG
Molecule: ribosomal RNA, 253 nt
Filed under: uncultured bacterium
Lineage: Bacteria
Description: partial 16S ribosomal RNA
Rfam family: Bacterial small subunit ribosomal RNA
Source: RNAcentral